UGGGGAAUCUUGGACAAUGGGGGCAACCCUGAUCCAGCGAUGCCGCGUGAGCGAAGAAGGCCUUAGGGUUGUAAAGCUCUUUCGCCCGCGACGAUGAUGACGGUAGCGGGAGAAGAAGCCCCGGCUAACUCCGUGCCAGCAGCCGCGGUAAUACGGAGGGUGCAAGCGUUAUCCGGAUUCACUGGGUUUAAAGGGUGCGUAGGUGGGCAGAUAAGUCAGUGGUGAAAUCUUCCGGCUUAACCGGGAAACUGCCGUUGAUACUAUUUGUCUUGAAUAUUGCGGAGGUAAGCGGAAUAUGUCAUGUAGCGGUGAAAUGCUUAGAUAUGACAUAGAACACCAAUUGCGAAGGCAGCUUACUACACAAUCAUUGACACUGAGGCACGAAAGCGUGGGUAGCGAACA
RNAcentral lists this ribosomal RNA (402 nucleotides) under uncultured bacterium. RNAcentral describes it as "bacterial SSU rRNA". It matches the Rfam family "Bacterial small subunit ribosomal RNA", at positions 355 to 774 of the family's 1533-position model. The record is from RNAcentral.